Nyctereutes procyonoides (raccoon dog) is the source of this 790-nucleotide long non-coding RNA. RefSeq lists it as uncharacterized. NCBI's taxonomy places the organism in Eukaryota, Metazoa, Chordata, Mammalia, Carnivora, Canidae. The record is from RefSeq and is a predicted model, not a curated record. The transcript is spliced from 4 exons.
AGUGGUGGGGGCGGGGUUUGUUGAAACGGCCGCCGCAGGGUUGGAGGACUUGGAAAAGAGCGAAGAUGGCGGAGUGAGACGUUCCGCUGCCAGCCGGCCGUUGGGCCGGGGGCGAUAAAGCCCCCGGACGGUGCAGAGCUUCUGGUGGGUUUGAGGAAGAACAUUUUCUUUGGCGUCCAGGUGCUUUGGUAUUCGUCUUGAGAAGAAAACAAAAUUCUGAACUCAGGAUUUGGCAAAAGGAAAGCAUGCAAGGGGGAGUGGGAGGAGGAGGAAGGAGCAGAGGAAGAGAGAGAGAGAAUCCUAAGCGGACUGCACAACCAGCGUGGAGCCCAACAUAAGGCUCCAUUUUAAUGACCCUGAGAUCAUGACCUGAGCGAAAUCAAGAGUCAGAUGUCCUAACCAAUUGAUCCACCUAAGGAUUCUCUGUUGUCUCCUGGAGUAGGUAGUCCUCCUUUUUAUCCAGCCACUUUCCCUAUUCUUGAAAUGUGGAUCUCUCCUCUACACAUUUUUACCUCCAUGAUUUGGAUCAGAAAAGGCUGCUUUUCUUUUUGUUCCACUUCUCAGAUUCAACCUUGAGAAGCUCCUAGGAUGCAAUUGUCUUGCUCAGUUCUCCAAGAAGAAAGAAGCAACUGACCUGCUUGUUCUGCUUUUUUGCCUAAUUAUAAAGAAAUUAUUUUGGAAGCUGAAGCUGAUGUUAAAUUUGAAACCGGUGCUUUUAGAUGUUGGUGUUUGUGAAUUCUUUACCUUUUGUUCCAAACAAGAAGACUAAAUAAAUAGCAAGUAUGGAUGA